Molecule: ribosomal RNA, 204 nt
Filed under: Escherichia coli
Lineage: Bacteria; Pseudomonadati; Pseudomonadota; Gammaproteobacteria; Enterobacterales; Enterobacteriaceae
Description: partial 23S ribosomal RNA
Rfam family: Bacterial large subunit ribosomal RNA
Source: RNAcentral
UGCCCGGUAGCUAAAUGCGGAAGAGAUAAGUGCUGAAAGCAUCUAAGCACGAAACUUGCCCCGAGAUGAGUUCUCCCUGACCCUUUAAGGGUCCUGAAGGAACGUUGAAGACGACGACGUUGAUAGGCCGGGUGUGUAAGCGCAGCGAUGCGUUGAGCUAACCGGUACUAAUGAACCGUGAGGCUUAACCUUACAACGCCGAAG